UUCUGCUGGGAGCUGCUUCGUUUGACGCUGUUAAAUAUCAAAUGACGAUGAGUCACAUUCCAGACUAAGCAGUAAGUACGAGUUCGAGUUACCUAGUUUUCCAUCAUCGCUCAAAAUGUUUUUGACGUGAGAACUUAUCUGCGAUGACGAUGGAAGUUGAGUUGAUUAGGUAUUUCCUAUCCGGAUAUUUCAUGAAUCAUCGAUAAGAUAAUAACUUCAAAAAUAUAAAAUUAGUUUGUAAAAUAUUAUAUUUGUUAGAUCUAUGCUUAUGUUAUUGUAAGUACAGUAAUCCAGAGUUGAAUUUGAUGUGAUUAAUCUCAUUAAAUAAUUUCACAAGUGAACUGGAAAUUUUACAAGAGUUUCUCCGAUUCCUACCAGCAGACCAGAUCUGGCAAUCCAAAAUUCCAGUCAAACAAUCUAUCCACGUCUUGAAAUUUUGAACAUUCCAGAUCCUCUUCCUACGUGCGUUUUUACGCAAUGGAUGACUUAACAGAAUAUGAAAUUCUUCGUGUACUAGACCUCCUUAGAAAAUUUGUAAUCGUUCCAUCAACUUUAAUAUGUCUGGUUAUCCAUUUUUAUAAAUUUUUUCGAAGUGGUAAACCAUCCACGAAAAGCUUGGCGACUAAAAACCUCACUUUUUACUGCUUUCUUCUAUUCUUAUACAUUACUCUUCCUAUACUGCUGAUGGAUAAUUUAUUCUCACAAAUAGAUCAUUUUCAGUUACAUUUUACCACAUACAUGAAUUUAUCAAUGGUGAUUUUCAAACUAAUUAUGGCCCUAGAUACAUGCUUAAGUUUUCGCAGAAUUGCUUUGUACUUGCAAAGACCUCCCUCAAACGAUGGACACAGAAAAUUUUACCUUUAUUGUUUUUUCACGAUAAGUAUUCCUCUACUUUGGGUUUUACUGUCGACUCAAUUGAUAUGUCCAACGCACCAGCUUUUCAUUGAAAAUUGUGCUUACAAAGCCCUGAAGUACUGGUAUCUCGAGGAGACAAUAUUAAGUGUUAUUCGCGUCUCUCGAUUAAUUUUAAUCGCAGGAGCGGUUUGGUACAUACGAUCAGCCAGCAUCAAUAAAACCGAAUUAUGGUCCAGGUUUUCGCUUCAUGUGCGUCUUCUCACUAUGCUCGGAGGUUUAGCUGCUUGUUUCGGUGUUUUACAGCUGUACUCGUUGAUUAAGCUUUUUAAAGCGAUUUUUAUCGGUGGAACUGAGGAAGGUAACUCGGAAAUGAUACGCAUGCAACUUGAUUUCGCACGAAUGCAGGACAUUGGCGUUGAUAUAGAAGGUAUUCUUAUUGGAAUAUUCUUUACAUUCAAGAAAGAUACGUUUCGAUCAACUCAUAGUACAUCUCAUUAAUUAUUCUACCUAAUUAUCAUUUAAGUAAGUUAUGGAAGUAGAUGCAGUAAGUUUUACUGAAGUGUUCAUAUGUAUUAUAAUUUUAUAAAAAGCUUGAUUUAUCUAUUUUUAAUCAACUAAGUAUACCUAAAUAUAAUCUGUCAAUGCGAUUUUUCAAGCAUUUAUUUACUUACUGUCACAAACCUGGGAACUGUGUAGUUAUUUUCAACAAGAAAAGUUUUCUAAUGGCCAAAAAAAAAAAAAAAAAAAAAAAAACAGAAAAA
Molecule: long non-coding RNA, 1616 nt
Organism: Planococcus citri (citrus mealybug)
Lineage: Eukaryota; Metazoa; Arthropoda; Insecta; Hemiptera; Pseudococcidae
Exons: 2
Source: RefSeq, a predicted model, not a curated record